AGUGAACGCUGGCGGUAGGCCUAACACAUGCAAGUCGAACGGCCUCACAGUAAUAGCUUGCUCUUACGUGUGGCGAGUGUCGGACGGGUGAGUAAUACAUCGGAAUCUACUUUUUCAUUGGUGAUAACGUAGGGUAACUUAUUCUAAUACCGCAUACGUCCUACUUGUGAAAGCACGGGUUCUUCUCACCUUUCGCGAUUGUAUGAGCCGAUGUCGGAUUAGCUAGUUGGCGGGGUAAAGUCCCACCAAAGCGACGAUCCGAAGCGGGUCUGAGAGGAUGAUCAAGCACACUGGAACUGAGAAACGGUCCAGACACCUACGGGAGGCAGCAGUGGGGAAUAUUAGGCAAUGGGCGAAAGCCUGAUCCAGCGAAACCGCGUAGGUGAAGAAGGACUUCGGGUUGUAAAGCCAUGUUGUUGGGAAAGAAAAAAAGUAGGUUAAUACCCGGAUGUUAUGACGGUACCCAAAGAAUAAGCACCGGCUAACUUCGUG
This 492-nucleotide ribosomal RNA is filed under the name uncultured bacterium. RNAcentral describes it as "partial 16S ribosomal RNA". It matches the Rfam family "Bacterial small subunit ribosomal RNA", at positions 29 to 507 of the family's 1533-position model. The record is from RNAcentral.